CAGGGACAAGAUUGUAGACCUACACAAGGCUGGGAUGGGCUACAAGACCAUCACCAAGCAGCUUGGUCAGAAGGUGACAACAGUUGGUGCAAUUAUUUGCAAAUUGAAGAAAUACAAUAACUGUCAGUCUCCCUCAGUCUGGUGCUCCAUGCAAGAUCUCACCUCAUGGAGUUUCAACGAUCAUAAGAACGGUGAGGAAUCAGCCAAGAACUACACGGGAGGCAGAGCCAGAUUAAUAGCCCAGUGAGCCUGGUACUAACAAUUAUGAGGGGCCUAAGUACAGAAUCUGAAAACCAAAAACACUAAAACAGCUAUACUUCUCAAGUGUUAUGUAUCUGUAUGAGAUGUUGCCGGAGGGAAACUCAUAUGACGCAGCUAUAAGAAAACUCAGAUUCUCUUAAAAUAUGCUAAUCUCUCUAAUUCAUGCUUUCAUCUAUCAAGUAAAUCCAUAACCCCUAACAGCAGUCUCCAGUGAAGCAGGAAGUCGAUGGGAGGUGUAAAAGGGUGGGCCACUGACGCGAUUCAUGUAACCAGAACUCCCGAAAGGGACGAACAUGCCCAAAAAGGAGGCAUGUCUGUCCAAAGAAUUAGAAGGCUAGCCUGGCAUGAAUGCAUGUCAGGCU
Molecule: non-coding RNA, 623 nt
Organism: Pelobates cultripes (western spadefoot toad)
Lineage: Eukaryota; Metazoa; Chordata; Amphibia; Anura; Pelobatidae
Source: the annotation of a GenBank genome assembly